CGCAUCUGUGCAUGCAGCAUAUCAAUAAGCGGAGGAAAAGAAACUAACAAGGAUUCCCCUAGUAACGGCGAGUGAAGCGGGAAGAGCUCAAAUUUGAAAUCUUAAAGGGUUUCCCUUUACGAAUUGUAGUUUAAAGAAGUGUUUUCUGUUGAGGUUUUGGUAAAAGUUCUUUGGAAUAGGACAUCAUAGAGGGUGAGAAUCCCGUAUUUGACCUUUACUUUCAACUUUGUGAUACACUUUCAAAGAGUCGGAUUGUUUGGGAAUGCAGUCCAAAAUGGGUGGUAAAUUUCAUCUAAAGCUAAAUAUUGGCGAGAGACCGAUAGCGAGCAAGUACCGUGAGGGAAAGAUGAAAAGAACUUUGAAAAGAGAGUUAAACAGUACGUGAAAUUGUCAAAAGGGAAGCGUUUGACACCAGUGUUGUUUUUCUGAAAAUCAAUUAAAGAACUGUUUAUGCUUAAGUUGUUUAGACUUUAUCAGCUAUCUGUUUAGUUUUGAGCUUUUCUUUAAUGCACUUUUCAGUUAACAAGUCAACAUCAAUUUCUUUUGCUGUAAAAAAGCUUGAGGAAGGUGGCUUGAGAUUCGUCUUAAGUGUUUAUAGCCUCUUGCCUAUGCAGUCGGAGAGAUUGAGGUCUGCAGCGUAGAUCCUUCGGGGCUAAAUGCAUUUGUGCUAAGUUAUAGCAUUUUAUAGACAACUUGUUGACUAUGAUUUGUCUUGUAGCUUACUCGCUUAUGUUAUUUUACCUACGCUUAGGAUGUUGAAUCUGUGCGAGACUAC
This 775-nucleotide ribosomal RNA is filed under the name uncultured Neocallimastigales. RNAcentral describes it as "partial large subunit ribosomal RNA". It matches the Rfam family "Eukaryotic large subunit ribosomal RNA", at positions 26 to 644 of the family's 3401-position model. The record is from RNAcentral. Lineage: Eukaryota; Fungi; Neocallimastigomycota; Neocallimastigomycetes; Neocallimastigales.